RNAcentral lists this ribosomal RNA (1101 nucleotides) under Escherichia coli. RNAcentral's name for it is "partial 23S ribosomal RNA". It matches the Rfam family "Bacterial large subunit ribosomal RNA", at positions 166 to 1305 of the family's 2925-position model. Lineage: Bacteria; Pseudomonadati; Pseudomonadota; Gammaproteobacteria; Enterobacterales; Enterobacteriaceae. The record is from RNAcentral.
AUAGGUUAAUGAGGCGAACCGGGGGAACUGAAACAUCUAAGUACCCCGAGGAAAAGAAAUCAACCGAGAUUCCCCCAGUAGCGGCGAGCGAACGGGGAGCAGCCCAGAGCCUGAAUCAGUGUGUGUGUUAGUGGAAGCGUCUGGAAAGGCGCGCGAUACAGGGUGACAGCCCCGUACACAAAAAUGCACAUGCUGUGAGCUCGAUGAGUAGGGCGGGACACGUGGUAUCCUGUCUGAAUAUGGGGGGACCAUCCUCCAAGGCUAAAUACUCCUGACUGACCGAUAGUGAACCAGUACCGUGAGGGAAAGGCGAAAAGAACCCCGGCGAGGGGAGUGAAAAAGAACCUGAAACCGUGUACGUACAAGCAGUGGGAGCACGCUUAGGCGUGUGACUGCGUACCUUUUGUAUAAUGGGUCAGCGACUUAUAUUCUGUAGCAAGGUUAACCGAAUAGGGGAGCCGAAGGGAAACCGAGUCUUAACUGGGCGUUAAGUUGCAGGGUAUAGACCCGAAACCCGGUGAUCUAGCCAUGGGCAGGUUGAAGGUUGGGUAACACUAACUGGAGGACCGAACCGACUAAUGUUGAAAAAUUAGCGGAUGACUUGUGGCUGGGGGUGAAAGGCCAAUCAAACCGGGAGAUAGCUGGUUCUCCCCGAAAGCUAUUUAGGUAGCGCCUCGUGAAUUCAUCUCCGGGGGUAGAGCACUGUUUCGGCAAGGGGGUCAUCCCGACUUACCAACCCGAUGCAAACUGCGAAUACCGGAGAAUGUUAUCACGGGAGACACACGGCGGGUGCUAACGUCCGUCGUGAAGAGGGAAACAACCCAGACCGCCAGCUAAGGUCCCAAAGUCAUGGUUAAGUGGGAAACGAUGUGGGAAGGCCCAGACAGCCAGGAUGUUGGCUUAGAAGCAGCCAUCAUUUAAAGAAAGCGUAAUAGCUCACUGGUCGAGUCGGCCUGCGCGGAAGAUGUAACGGGGCUAAACCAUGCACCGAAGCUGCGGCAGCGACGCUGAUGCGUUGUUGGGUAGGGGAGCGUUCUGUAAGCCUGCGAAGGUGUGCUGUGAGGCAUGCUGGAGGUAUCAGAAGUGCGAAUGCUGACAUAA